This 468-nucleotide ribosomal RNA is filed under the name Salmonella enterica subsp. enterica serovar Plymouth. RNAcentral describes it as "partial 23S ribosomal RNA". It matches the Rfam family "Bacterial large subunit ribosomal RNA", at positions 161 to 668 of the family's 2925-position model. Lineage: Bacteria; Pseudomonadati; Pseudomonadota; Gammaproteobacteria; Enterobacterales; Enterobacteriaceae. The record is from RNAcentral.
AAUCCAUAGGUUAAUGAGGCGAACCGGGGGAACUGAAACAUCUAAGUACCCCGAGGAAAAGAAAUCAACCGAGAUUCCCCCAGUAGCGGCGAGCGAACGGGGAGGAGCCCAGAGCCUGAAUCAGCAUGUGUGUUAGUGGAAGCGUCUGGAAAGGCGCGCGAUACAGGGUGACAGCCCCGUACACAAAAGCGCAUGUGCUGUGAGCUCGAUGAGUAGGGCGGGACACGUGGUAUCCUGUCUGAAUAUGGGGGGACCAUCCUCCAAGGCUAAAUACUCCUGACUGACCGAUAGUGAACCAGUACCGUGAGGGAAAGGCGAAAAGAACCCCGGCGAGGGGAGUGAAAAAGAACCUGAAACCGUGUACGUACAAGCAGUGGGAGCACAGGUUUACCUGUGUGACUGCGUACCUUUUGUAUAAUGGGUCAGCGACUUAUAUUCUGUAGCAAGGUUAACCGCAUAGGGGAGCCG